CCCAAAGAGACAGAGAGAGAGAGAGAUCUAGAGAUCUAGAGAGAGAGUAUGGAUCAGUUUCUUGAGCUUUAUUCUGAAGCUUUUAACAUAGCCAUGGUGGUCCUGCUUCUCUUCCUGUCAUGGAAAAUAUUGUAUUCUUGUUGGAUUUCACCAACUCAGCGAUAUCAGAAGCUUCGGAGAAAUUGGUUUAAAGGCCCAACUCCAAGUUUUCCGCUGGGUAAUAGUACUAGAGAGAUGACUAAGAAGAAAAGAGAACAUUCUUCUUUGGGAUCUACAAAGUCCCCCCAUGAUAUUCACUCAAUGGUUUUCCCCUACUUUGCACAAUGGCAAGAGUCACAUGGAAAAGUAUUCAUCUACUAGCUAGGCACGGAGCCAUUUUUUUAUGUAGCGGAUCCUGAGUUCCUUAAGAAAAUGUCUAGGAAGGUGAUGGCAAGGAGCUGGGGGAAACCCACUGUCUUCAAAAAUGACAGAGACGCCAUGUUUGGCAAUGGUCUGAUUAUGACUGAAGGCGAUGACUGGGUUCGCCACCGCCAAGCCAUCACUCCGGCAUUCCACCCCACCAACUUGAAGGUUAUGGCAUCCAUGAUGAGUGCAUGACUUUCUUCUUUGGAGGCCAUGAGACGACAGCAUUGGCAAUCACGUGGACCUUGCUGCUGCUGGCUGUCCAUCAAGAUUGGCAACAUCAGUUAAGAGAUGAGAUUAGAGAAGUUGUUAAAGAUAAGGAGAUCGAUGUCAACAAGCUUGCCGGACUAAAGAAGGUGUAAUUUAUUAUAAUUUUGCAUUAUCAUUUGCAAUCCAAGGAUCUGGAAGAUUCGAUGCUGUCACCCAAGGAUCAAAUCACAUCCAAAUUAAAUCAGUCUUGUAAAGAAAGAUCCAAUACUAAGAAGGAAAUCAUCGCAGAAUUUUGUCUGUAAAAUAUGUAAUUGACAGCACAUUACUUGCGGACAUUUAACCAUCGCAGAAUUUUGUCUGUAAAAUAUGUAAUUGACAGCACAUUACUUGCGGACAUUUAACCUCUCCUUCGUGUAUAAGUAUCAUGU
Corylus avellana is the source of this 1040-nucleotide long non-coding RNA. RefSeq lists it as uncharacterized. NCBI's taxonomy places the organism in Eukaryota, Viridiplantae, Streptophyta, Magnoliopsida, Fagales, Betulaceae. The record is from RefSeq and is a predicted model, not a curated record.